This 396-nucleotide ribosomal RNA is filed under the name uncultured bacterium. Its description in RNAcentral is "bacterial SSU rRNA". It matches the Rfam family "Bacterial small subunit ribosomal RNA", at positions 30 to 424 of the family's 1533-position model. The record is from RNAcentral.
AUUGAACGCUGGCGGCAUGCCUUACACAUGCAAGUCGAACGGCAGUCACGGGAGCAAUCCUGGUGGCGAGUGGCGAACGGGUGAGUAAUAUAUCGGAACGUGCCCAGUCGUGGGGAUAACGUAGCGAAAGCUACGCUAAUACCGCAUACGAUCUAUGGAUGAAAGCGGGGGAUCGCAAGACCUCGCGCGAUUGGAGCGGCCGAUAUCAGAUUAGGUAGUUGGUGAGGUAAAGGACUCACCAAGCCGACGAUCUGUAGCUGGUCUGAGAGGACGACCAGCCACACUGGGACUGAGACACGGCCCAGACUCCUACGGGAGGCAGCAGUGGGAAUUUUGGGACAAUGGGCGCGAAGCCUGACCCAGCAAUGCCGCGUGCAGGAUGAAGGCCUUCGGGUU